Molecule: ribosomal RNA, 497 nt
Filed under: uncultured bacterium
Lineage: Bacteria
Description: partial 16S ribosomal RNA
Rfam family: Bacterial small subunit ribosomal RNA
Source: RNAcentral
GACGAACGCUGGCGGCGUGCCUAAUACAUGCAAGUUGAGCGCUGAAGGUUGGUACUUGUACCAACUGGAUGAGCAGCGAACGGGUGAGUAACGCGUGGGGAAUCUGCCUUUGAGCGGGGGACAACAUUUGGAAACGAAUGCUAAUACCGCAUAAAAACUUUAAACACAAGUUUUAAGUUUGAAAGAUGCAAUUGCAUCACUCAAAGAUGAUCCCGCGUUGUAUUAGCUAGUUGGUGAGGUAAAGGCUCACCAAGGCGAUGAUACAUAGCCGACCUGAGAGGGUGAUCGGCCACAUUGGGACUGAGACACGGCCCAAACUCCUACGGGAGGCAGCAGUAGGGAAUCUUCGGCAAUGGACGAAAGUCUGGCCGAGCAACGCCGCGUGAGUGAAGAAGGUUUUCGGAUCGUAAAACUCUGUUGGUAGAGAAGAACGUCGGUGAGAGUGGAAAGCUCAUCAAGUGACGGUAACUACCCAGAAAGGGACGGCUAACUACGUG